Saccostrea echinata is the source of this 318-nucleotide long non-coding RNA. RefSeq lists it as uncharacterized. The transcript has 3 exons. NCBI's taxonomy places the organism in Eukaryota, Metazoa, Mollusca, Bivalvia, Ostreida, Ostreidae. The record is from RefSeq and is a predicted model, not a curated record.
CUGCGCAACAAGCAGCUUGUGAUAACUGUGAUGAUUUAUUGACGUCACAAUGCGCCGAAAAUUUUCAGCCGUGCAAUGGUGUGUGCAUGCUUCAGAAUCAAAGAAACAGAAUUCAAACAAAAUGUACCACGAGCUCGGAAUGUAAAUAUAAACAGACCUUAGGACUGUUGUUUCCUGGUACGAACACAAUUUGCUGCACUACGGACGAUUGUUUUCAAAAGGAAUUGUUCACCAUGAUACAAGGACAUAUUGCAUCAACGAAGAGACCUUCAACGAAAGUUCUGGUUACCAUCAAGAAGUGAUAGCAUUGUCUCCCAC